UUCUGUACUGUGGCACAAACGGUCAGUGUCUGGUUGUUAGCCAGAAGGUUGGUGGUUUGAGCCCACCCAGGGAAG
Non-coding RNA from Podarcis lilfordi (Lilford's wall lizard), 75 nucleotides. The record is from the annotation of a GenBank genome assembly. NCBI's taxonomy places the organism in Eukaryota, Metazoa, Chordata, Lepidosauria, Squamata, Lacertidae.